GACUCCUACGGGAGGCAGCAGUGAGGAAUAUUGGUCAAUGGGCGAGAGCCUGAACCAGCCAAGUAGCGUGCAGGACGACGGCCCUAUGGGUUGUAAACUGCUUUUAUGCGGGGAUAAAGUGAGCCACGUGUGCCUUUUUGCAGGUACCGCAUGAAUAAGGACCGGCUAAUUCCGUGCCAGCGAGCCGCGGUAAU
RNAcentral lists this ribosomal RNA (194 nucleotides) under uncultured bacterium. Its description in RNAcentral is "partial 16S ribosomal RNA". It matches the Rfam family "Bacterial small subunit ribosomal RNA", at positions 334 to 524 of the family's 1533-position model. The record is from RNAcentral.